RNAcentral lists this ribosomal RNA (189 nucleotides) under uncultured bacterium. RNAcentral's name for it is "partial 16S ribosomal RNA". It matches the Rfam family "Bacterial small subunit ribosomal RNA", at positions 1312 to 1500 of the family's 1533-position model. The record is from RNAcentral.
UCGCCUACAUGAAGCUGGAGUUACUAGUAAUCGCAGAUCAGAAUGCUGCGGUGAAUGCGUUCCCGGGUCUUGUACACACCGCCCGUCACACCAUGAGGGUCGGGAACACCCGAAGUCCGUAGUCUAACCGCAAGGAGGGCGCGGCCGAAGGUGGGUUCGAUGACUGGGGUGAAGUCGUAACAAGGUACC